RNAcentral lists this ribosomal RNA (107 nucleotides) under Acanthosepion pharaonis. Lineage: Eukaryota; Metazoa; Mollusca; Cephalopoda; Sepiida; Sepiidae. The record is from RNAcentral.
CCAUAUUACGUUGAAACAUUGGUUCCCGUACGAUCAAUGAAGUUAAGCAACGUCGGACCUGGUCAGUACCUAGAUGGGUGGUCGCUUAGGAAUACCAAGUGCUGUAA